Molecule: ribosomal RNA, 468 nt
Filed under: uncultured bacterium
Lineage: Bacteria
Description: partial 16S ribosomal RNA
Rfam family: Bacterial small subunit ribosomal RNA
Source: RNAcentral
GACGAACGCUGGCGGCGUGCUUAACACAUGCAAGUCGAACGGAAAGGCCCUGCUUUUGUUGGGUGCUCGAGUGGCGAACGGGUGAGUAACACGUGAGUAACCUGCCCUUGACUUUGGGAUAACUUCAGGAAACUGGGGCUAAUACCGGAUAGGAGCUCCUGCUGCAUGGUGGGGGUUGGAAAGUUUCGGCGGUUGGGGAUGGACUCGCGGCUUAUCAGCUUGUUGGUGGGGUAGUGGCUUACCAAGGCUUUGACGGGUAGCCGGCCUGAGAGGGUGACCGGCCACAUUGGGACUGAGAUACGGCCCAGACUCCUACGGGAGGCAGAAGUGGGGAAUAUUGCACAAUGGGCGGAAGCCUGAUGCAGCAACGCCGCGUGCGGGAUGACGGCUUUCGGGUUGUAAACCGCUUUCGCCUGUGACGAAGCGUGAGUGACGGUAAUGGGUAAAGAAGCACCGGCUAACUACGUG